RNAcentral lists this long non-coding RNA (1146 nucleotides) under Gadus morhua (Atlantic cod). RNAcentral's name for it is "lncRNA (ENSGMOG00000027013.1)". Lineage: Eukaryota; Metazoa; Chordata; Actinopteri; Gadiformes; Gadidae. The record is from RNAcentral.
AACCUUGACGUCCCCAUGGGGAAUCGCUCAAAGGUAAUUUGUGUGAUUUUAAUAUUAACUGUUUGUGAGUGCAUACAUAUUAAUAGCGCCUGUAAUCCUAUAUGACAAGCUUUACAUUGUAUGGUACAGAUAGUUGCAUUGAUAAUAAAAGUGUUAUAUUUCAUUAACUGUUAUCAUUUCCGUUCUCUUCCAUUAUGAUAGAAACGGAAGGUGGCACAUGGAACCACGGCUGUGGUCUCCAAAGGAAAGAAGGCCCGCCUUGAGGCACUUCAAACUCCAGCAAGGAUUGCCAAACCUUCGAAGCUGGUACCUCCCCCUCGACCUGUUCCAGAAGCUGCUGUACCAGCUACUCUGGAGGGCGUACCUCCUCCUCGACCUGUUCCAGAAGCUGCUGUGCCAGCCACUCUGGAGGGCAGCGUCUUUGUGCAUUCGAGCAAGUUUGCUCAACCGGAGGGGGAUGACAAGACUCUGUGUGUUGAUGAGUGGCCGUUUCUUCAAACAGAGUUUUGUGAGAAGGUGAACCAGCCAACUGCUCGGGUUGUCUCUGGACAGAGAAAACAAGAGGAGCCAACACCUUGGGGGCCAAAAGUUGUGAUGGCCCAGGCUGAUAAACCAACAGCCAAUGAGACCAGCUUCUUGGGAUGUUCAACCAAGAUGACAGACAUUGAGGACCAUGAGCCAUUUGAACCAGCACCUGAGGUCACUGCGAGCAGUCAGCAGAGCCCGCCUGAGGACAAUGGCCAGCUUGAAGAUCCUCAUGUAACACUUGGCAAUCAGAAGGUACUUAUUUUUAACAUGUUAUUCCCUGUUCCUUGUGAGUUUUCCUGCCAUUUAUUAGAUCUUGGAAAUUAGUUAAAGUAAUGUUAAUAUCAUGUACAAUUCCGUUUUCCCAUUAUACACAGCCAUGAACUACAGCUGAUUGAUUCCUAGCCUUUUUUUAUGAAUUCCUUGUUAAUUUCGAUAUAAACUAUUGGUUACACUCCUUUUUGAUUGAACUACUCUUGUGUUUUUAGGCACCCUGUGAUUUUGCAACUGCCAGAGCUGCUACAUCAAGUCAUGUGACUUAUGACAACCCUGGGUGUAUUCAAGGAUCAUUUGACCAGAGCAGCCACAUAUUCGGGGAAAAUGCAGGUAAGCAGUGUGCUA